RNAcentral lists this long non-coding RNA (3468 nucleotides) under Sus scrofa (pig). RNAcentral's name for it is "lncRNA (ENSSSCG00000061141.1)". Lineage: Eukaryota; Metazoa; Chordata; Mammalia; Artiodactyla; Suidae. The record is from RNAcentral.
AUUUUUAUUGAGAUAUAAUUCAUAUACCAUCUAGCUAGCUCAUUUAAAGUAUACCAUUCAAUGGUUUAUGGUAUAUUCACAAAGAUGGGCAAUGUUGAUUACAAUCUAAUUUUAGGAUAUUUUCAUCACCCCAAAAAGAAACCCCAUGCCCAUUAGCAGUAAUUCCUCAUUUCCCCCAGCCCAGCAGCCCUUGGCAACUGCUAAUCUUUCUGCCUUUGUAGAUUUACCUGUUCUAAAUAUUUCAUAUAAAUGGAGUCAUACAAUAUGUAGUCUUUUGUGACUAGCUUCUUUCACUUAGCAUAACAUUUUCAAGGUUCAUCCAUGUUGUGGCAUAUAUCAGUACCCCAUUCCUUUUUAUGGCUGAAUAAUAUCCCACCAAAGUUUGUUUACCCUUCCUCAGCUGAUGGACAUUUAAGUUGUUUCUACUUUUUUGGCUGUUAUGAAUAAUGCUGCUUUGAACAUAUGUCUACGUUUUUUUGUUUGAAUGCCAGCUUUCAACUGUCCUAGGCAUAUGCCUAGGAGUGGAAUUAAGUCAUAUGGAAAGUCUGUUUCACAUUUUAAGAAACUGCUAAAUUGUUUUCCAGUGUGGCCACAUCAUUUUACAUUUUGUACAAGUGUUUCUCUUAUAUCCUCACUGACACUUAUUAUUGUUUGCCUUUUUUAUUAUAGCCAUCAUAGUGGGUAUGAAGUGGUAUCUCAUUGCGGUUUUGAUUUGUAUUGCCUUAGUGUUAAGCAUUCUUCCCUGUGCUUAUGGGUCAUUUGCAUAAAUUCAUUGGAGAAAUGUCUAUUCUUAUAAAAAAAAGUCUUUGCCCUUAUUUAAUUGGUUAUUUUUGGGUUGUAAGAGUUCUUUAUAGGUUCUGAAUAAAAGCCCAAUAUUAGAUAUUUUUCCCAUUAUGUGGAUUGUCUUUUCACUUUCUUGAUAGUAUUGUUUGCAGCACAAAAGUUUUCAAUUUUGAUAUACUCCAAUUUAUUGACAUUUUUGUCACUUGUGUUUUUGGAGUUCUGUCUAGGUAAUCGUUGCUUAGCCCAAUGUCGGGAAGAUUUAUUCCUGUUUUCUUCUAAGAGUAUUGUAAUUUUAAUGCUUACAUUUAGCUUUAUAGUUCAAGUUAAUUUUGGUACAUAGUGUAAGGAAGAGAUCCAAAUUCAUUCUUUUCAUGUGGAUACCCAGUUGUCCCUUCAUCAUUUGUGGACAGAUAUUCUUUCUCCAUUUUAUUGGCUUGGCACCAUUAUUGAAAAUUAACUGACCAUAAACAUGAGGGUUUGUUUCUGUAUUCUCAAUAUUAUUCCAUUUAUUUAUAUGUCUAUACUUGUGAAUACAUCACAGUCUUGAUGACUUUAGCUCUGUAGUAAGAGCUGAUUUUGAAAUUGAGAGGUGUGACGCAUCCAACUUUGUUAUUUUAUAAGAUGGUUUUGACUAUUCUGGGUCUCUUGCAAUUCCAUAUGAAUUUUAGGUUUCACUUUCCCAUUUAUACAAAGAAGCCAGCUGGGAUUCUCAUAAGGAUUUUGAACCUGUAGGUCAAUUGGGAGAGUACUAUUAUCUAAAAAAUAGGAAGUCUUCCAAUCCAUGGACAAAGGGUGACUUUAUAUUUAUUUAGAUUUUUUUCAAUUUCUUUCAACAAUGUUUUUAGUUUUCAGUAUAAAAUUCUUACAUGUUGUUUAUUAAAUGUAUCCCCAAGUAUUUUUUUUUUUGAUGUUAGUAUAAUGGAAUUGUUUUUAGAUUGUUCAUUGCUAGUGUAUAGAAACAGAAGUGAUUUUAUAUAUCAACCUUGUAUCCUGUGACCUUGCUGAACUCAUUUAGGCAGGUAGUUGUGAGCAGUAUGAGAAGAGCAAGAAUAUGCCUAGAUUAGAAAAGAAUGGAUUGAGUAAAUCAAGACUAGAAUAAUAGUAGUUACUAUGUCCUUAACAUUUUGUGGUAAGUCAGUGCUUCUCACUUUUUAAUAUGCACAUGAAUCUCCUCUCAGAAGUCUAGUUAAAAUGUAGACUAUUACCAGUGAGUUUUGGGUGGAACCUGGGUUCUGCCUUUCUAACAAUUUCUAGUAGAUAGCUGGUGGCUUUCAUAUAUUACUUUUAAGCCACAACAACUCUGUAAGACACAUCUUAUUGUUUCCAUGUUACAGAUAAGAAAAGGAACUCUGAAGUUGAGCAAAUAACCCAGGUUCAUAGAAUAAUUGGCAUAUGAAUAAUGUAUGGAUUGGGGGAGUAGUAAGCUUUUCAGGGUCAGAGGUGCUUCUUGGAGUACAUUUGGGCCUGAACCUUGACGUUAUCUUGGAGAGCUGAUUAGUGACUAAGAGUAAAGAUGUGAGACCGAACUAUCAGGUAGAAGUAAGAUGAUGGUAGUAGAGAGAAUUCAAGAUUGGAGAAGGUAUAGAAAGUGGCUCACCUCUGAUCAGAAUCAACUUCAGAACUGGACACUGUAUACUGCUGAGGUCUACACUUGAGGUCAUGCCUGUUAUUGAUGCUUCCUGAAUUCUAAAUUAUUGUAAUGGGGAUAAUGAAUAGCAUCAAGGCUAACCCUGAGGGAACAAGGUAAGGGUUUAGGGAUGUGGAUAAGGCUCUGAUCAUACAGUUAUCUAUGAAGGACUAUGGACAGGUAAUCAAAUUCCUUUCCAAUACUUUGCAGCAGAAUAUCAGGAGAUUUCCAUCACUUCAGUCAAAACACAUAAGAUAAUUUUUUUUUUGUCCUUAGCACCUUUUAUUGAAGUAUGACCCUUGAUGACAAUCUGGCAGACAUAUCGAUGUCAGCCAAGAAGGGAGUGGUGGAGGACACAAAUGCAGAAACAAUAAGAUUCAGAAAAAUAAUAGCUUCACAUGGGAUAGAUGACCCCCCAACAGUUGUACAACCAACACUGGUUCUUUCUCUAUAGAAAUUGCCCCCUGCCCCACCCCCCUCUAAAGACCUACUAAUCUUCAAAGAAUACAAUAUGUUGUUACAGAAAUAUUAUUGGCAUAGACAACUCCUUUGGCAAAGACAGCGGGAGACACCAAGCUCCAGACGGGAGGAAGUGGCCAGGAAUGUGCCCAGCUUCCUCCAUUUGGGACCUGCUACUGGCAGAGCAGCACCUUUCGGGAGGCUGGGAUUAAGGUUGCAGCCCUGGUGCCCCUUGGCAGCUUUUUGGCACAGGACGUGAAAGGGAAAACAGAACCUGAACCAGGCCUUGAAAGAGGCUUUUCAUCUUUUUACCCUCUUCGUUCCUUGGCUUCUAGUCUCUCUCUUUUUAGGGCUUUAUUUUCAGUGUCUCUGUCCUUCCUCUUGGAUUCCCCUUGAGCAUCUUCUGCUCUACCCUGGCUGAGUCUGCAGCUGGUGGGGCUCAAAAAGACUCAAAGCCCUGGGACAGGAGUAUAAGGAGGACAUGUGACUCUUAAAUUGAUUCUUCUCUAUCAACCACUGUGCUUACUCAUAACCCACUGUGGCCUGUAUGGGGAUUUGAAAGGAGAGGACAGAAGACCAAUAACUGUCUUUGGGAAAGU